This 758-nucleotide ribosomal RNA is filed under the name Bacillus cereus. RNAcentral's name for it is "bacterial SSU rRNA". It matches the Rfam family "Bacterial small subunit ribosomal RNA", at positions 56 to 787 of the family's 1533-position model. Lineage: Bacteria; Bacillati; Bacillota; Bacilli; Caryophanales; Bacillaceae. The record is from RNAcentral.
UGCAGUCGAGCGAWGGGAUUAAGWAGCUUGGCUCCUUAUGAAGUUAGCGGCGGACGGGGUGWGUAACACGUGGGGUAACCWGGCCCAUAAGACURGGGAUAACUCCGGGGAAACCGGGGCUAAUACCGGAUAAYAUUUUGAACCGCAWGGUUCGAAAUUGAAAGRGCGGCUUCGGCUGUCACUUAUGGAUGGACCCGCGUCGCAUUAGCUAGUUGGUGAGGUAACGGCUCACCAAGGCAACGAUGCGUAGCCGACCUGAGAGGGUGAUCGGCCACACUGGGACUGAGACACGGCCCAGACUCCUACGGGAGGCAGCAGUAGGGAAUCUUCCGCAAUGGACGAAAGUCUGACGGAGCAACGCCGCGUGAGUGAUGAAGGCUUUCGGGUCGUAAAACUCUGUUGUUAGGGAAGAACAAGUGCUAGUUGAAUAAGCUGGCACCUUGACGGUACCUAACCAGAAAGCCACGGCUAACUACGUGCCAGCAGCCGCGGUAAUACGUAGGUGGCAAGCGUUAUCCGGAAUUAUUGGGCGUAAAGCGCGCGCAGGUGGUUUCUUAAGUCUGAUGUGAAAGCCCACGGCUCAACCGUGGAGGGUCAUUGGAAACUGGGAGACUUGAGUGCAGAAGAGGAAAGUGGAAUUCCAUGUGUAGCGGUGAAAUGCGUAGAGAUAUGGAGGAACACCAGUGGCGAAGGCGACUUUCUGGUCUGUAACUGACACUGAGGCGCGAAGCGUGGGGAGCAAACAGGAUUAGAUACCC